This 512-nucleotide ribosomal RNA is filed under the name uncultured bacterium. Its description in RNAcentral is "partial 16S ribosomal RNA". It matches the Rfam family "Bacterial small subunit ribosomal RNA", at positions 28 to 507 of the family's 1533-position model. The record is from RNAcentral.
GAUGAACGCUGGCGGCGUGCCUAAUACAUGCAAGUCGAACGAAACUUCUUUAUCACCGAGUGCUUGCACUCACCGAUAAAGAGUUGAGUGGCGAACGGGUGAGUAACACGUUGGCAACCUGCCCAAAAGAGGGGGAUAACACUUGGAAACAGGUGCUAAUACCGCAUAACCAUAGUUACCGCAUGGUAACUAUGUAAAAGGUGGCUAUACUACCGCUUUUGGAUGGUCCCGCGGCGCAUUAGCUAGUUGGUAGGGUAAAGGCUUACCAAGGCAAUGAUGCGUAGCCGAAUUGAGAGGUUGAUCGGCCACAUUGGGACUGAGACACGGCCCAAACUCCUACGGGAGGCAGCAGUAGGGAAUCUUCCACAAUGGGCGAAAGCCUGAUGGAGCAACGCCGCGUGGGUGAAGAAGGUCUUCGGAUCGUAAAACCCUGUUGUUAGAGAAGAAAGUGCGUGAGAGUAACUGUUCACGUUUCGACGGUAUCUAACCAGAAAGCCACGGCUAACUACGUG